AAACAUACACACACACACACACACACGCACAUCCACAUACACGAACCCAGUCGCGCACUCAGGUGCGCACAUCGAGGGGAGUGAGAGAGAAGAGCGGACGCCUCGCGCUCAUCCUCAUUCCACCGCCCUCGCCCCACACCACCGUGGACGAGACUGAACUCUUUUUUUCGCCUUUCUGUCUUCUCUAGUCGUCUACGUCGUCACACACACGUGCACACGGGGAGGAGCGACACAAGAGGCCGAGAGAUGAGCCUUUUAGAGGAGCGCUACGCUCCGCCGUCGCAGCGCGGCGUGCUCUACUUUAAUACCAUCCCGCGCGACAUGCGACCACAGGAGAUCCGGCUGCACUUCAAUCGUUACGGCGAAAUUCGUCGCAUGAAGUUCAUUCCCUUCCCGAAGAAGGCGCGCCGCCCGGGCGGACCGCUUCUCCCGUUGCAAUACAAGGAGGGCUGGAUGGAGUUCACCUCCGCUAGCGAUGCGCAACAUGCGGCGCAGUGCAUGAAUGGCCAGCCGAUCGACGUGAAGCGGCAGCGUCGGUGCUACGGUCAGCUGUGGACAGUGCGCUUCAUGGACGGGUUCACGUGGGACUCACUGUUGGAGGAGGCGGAAGGGAAGCGGCGUGCUCGGCGUGCGGCCGAGGUGGAGGCGCGCAGGGCGGAGCGGUCCAUGAACGAGGCUUAUCGGCGGAUGGUGAUGCAGGCGGAGCAGCAGCGAAAGGCGAAGCGGCGCCCUCGCGAGAAAGUGGAGGCGGCCAGCCACAGCGACGCCGAUGCGGAAGGCGAUGCGUCAAAUUCAUCCGUAGCUACAGACAGCGGAGCUUCACGUGUUCGCGGCGGUACAGGUCGUGGUGCCGCAGCCAAGUCUUCCACCAAGCCGAAGGCGCAUUCGGCGAAGAAGUCCGAGCUCGACCCCACGAAGAAGGCUAAGAGGCGCCGAGACGCGUAGCAACGAGCAAGCUGGAGCGGGCGGUGGCGAAGCGAUCGGGGGAAAGGGGAUAGCGCAAGACAGCCUGUAGGAGAGGCCUCAUCCGUGCGACGUUCCUCCUCCUGCAUAUAUCGGCUCCCUUUUCAUCUUUGCUGUUCGCUCGAGUUGUCUCUGCUCUGGUCUCGUACGCUCGGUUGCUCUGGAGGCGUCCACGGGGGCUUUCGCGCAUGUUGCCGCAGCGCGAGCAGAUCCGCUUGUGCGCGUAUGUGUACGGCACAAACGUGCUCAUCUUUUCACUGUAUAAGACGCAGUAAGCCAAGCGAAC
This 1249-nucleotide unclassified non-coding RNA is filed under the name Leishmania donovani. RNAcentral describes it as "gene:LdHU3.35.1850(CDS-product:RNA_binding_protei n_putative)". The record is from RNAcentral. Lineage: Eukaryota; Euglenozoa; Kinetoplastea; Trypanosomatida; Trypanosomatidae.